UACAGAGGUCUCAAGCGUUGUUCGGAUUCAUUGGGCGUAAAGGGUGCGUAGGCGGCGCGGUAAGUCGGGUGUGAAAUCUCGGAGCUUAACUCCGAAACUGCAUUCGAUACUGCCGUGCUUGAGGACUGGAGAGGAGACUGGAAUUUACGGUGUAGCGGUGAAAUGCGUAGAGAUGCGGAGGAACACCGAUGGCGAAGGCAGCCCCCUGGGCUAGCACUGACGCUCAGGCACGAAAGCGUGGGGAGCAAACAGG
RNAcentral lists this ribosomal RNA (253 nucleotides) under uncultured bacterium. RNAcentral describes it as "partial 16S ribosomal RNA". It matches the Rfam family "Bacterial small subunit ribosomal RNA", at positions 524 to 776 of the family's 1533-position model. The record is from RNAcentral.